This 409-nucleotide long non-coding RNA is filed under the name Carica papaya (papaya). RNAcentral describes it as "long non-coding RNA (CPAP_LNC009460)". The record is from RNAcentral. Lineage: Eukaryota; Viridiplantae; Streptophyta; Magnoliopsida; Brassicales; Caricaceae.
AACAGAUAGAAUGAAUUCAAGUGAGAUGCAAUACAAACUAGUGAUCAAAAUUUUGAAUUGCUAAUUUAUGCAAAACAAGAAUGUUAAAUUAAUAAAGAUAGUAGGUUCAUUAGGAGCAUAAACUUUGAUACUAGAUGAUGCAGGAGGGGUUGGGGAAUGAUUGUUUUAACUUCCAGAACCUCACACAACGUACAAAUUAAAAGACUUAAACCACCUAACUCAACUUCCCUACUUGAAAGUACACCCCACCUAUAUGGCAUGCAAAAUCAAGAUAAUAGAAAAAUAAAAAAAAAAAAUAAAGGAAGAUGCAACGGCUUACUAGAUAAGUUGAUCUUAAUUUCUCGGCUCAACAAGUCUUCAGAAGCUCCUAAACUUGAAGAAAUUUGAAGAAUCCCAAAAAUUAGCCAAA